AGAGUUUGAUCCUGGCUCAGAGCGAACGUUAGCGGCAGGCCUAACACAUGCAAGUCGCGCGAGAAUGGGGCUUCGGCUCCUAGUAAAGCGGCGGACGGGUGAGUAACACGUGGAUAAUCUGCCCUUCGGCGGGGGACAACAGUCCGAAAGGAUUGCUAAUACCGCAUACGUCUAAGAGGUCUUCGGAUCUUUUAGGGAAAGAUGGCCUCUUCAUGAAAGCUAUCACCGAAGGAUGAGUCCGCGUCCCAUCAGCUUGUUGGCGGUGUAAGAGACCACCAAGGCGAAGACGGGUAGCUGGUCUGAGAGGAUGAUCAGCCACACUGGAACUGAGACACGGUCCAGACUCCUACGGGAGGCAGCAGUGGGGAAUAUUGGGCAAUGGGCGCAAGCCUGACCCAGCCAUGCCGCGUGAGUGAUGAAGGCCUUCGGGUCGUAAAGCUCUGUGGAGAGGGAAGAAACCCGCUAUGGCUAAUAUCCAUGGCGAUUGACGGUACCUCUUUAGCAAGCACCGGCUAACUCCGUGCCAGCAGCCGCGGUAAUACGGAGGGUGCAAACGUUGCUCGGAAUCAUUGGGCGUAAAGCGCGCGUAGGCGGCCUGUUAAGUCGGAUGUGAAAGCCCUGGGCUCAACCCAGGAAGUGCAUUCGAAACUGGCAGGCUUGAGUAUGGAAGAGGGUCGCGGAAUUCCCGGUGUAGAGGUGAAAUUCGUAGAUAUCGGGAGGAACACCAGUGGCGAAGGCGGCGACCUGGGCCAAUACUGACGCUCAUGUGCGAAAGCGUGGGGAGCAACAGGAUUAGAUACCCNNGUAGUCC
This 811-nucleotide ribosomal RNA is filed under the name uncultured bacterium. RNAcentral describes it as "bacterial SSU rRNA". It matches the Rfam family "Bacterial small subunit ribosomal RNA", at positions 8 to 796 of the family's 1533-position model. The record is from RNAcentral.